Molecule: ribosomal RNA, 459 nt
Filed under: uncultured bacterium
Lineage: Bacteria
Description: partial 16S ribosomal RNA
Rfam family: Bacterial small subunit ribosomal RNA
Source: RNAcentral
CCUACGGGAGGCAGCAGUGAGGAAUAUUGGUCAAUGGCCGAGAGGCUGAACCAGCGAAGUCGCGUGAGGGAAGACGGCCCUACGGGUUGUAAACCUCUUUUGUCGGGGAGCAAAUCGCGUCACGUGUGCCUCAUUGCGCGUACCCGAAGAAAAAGCAUCGGCUAACUCCGUGCCAGCAGCCGCGGUAAUCCGGAGGAUGCGAGCGUUAUCCGGAUUUAUUGGGUUUAAAGGGUGCGCAGGCGGAGGUGCAAGUCAGCGGUCAAAUUGCGGGGCUCAACCCCGUACUGCCGUUGAAACUGCAUCCCUGGAGUGCGGGAGAAGUAGGCGGAAUGCGUGGUGUAGCGGUGAAAUGCAUAGAUAUCACGAAGAACUCCGAUGGCGAAGGCAGCAUACCGGAGCGCAACUGACGCUCAUGCACGAAAGCGUGGGUAUCGAACAGGAUUAGAUACCCCUGUAGUC